CCUACGGGAGGCAGCAGUGAGGAAUAUUGGUCAAUGGGCGGAAGCCUGAACCAGCCAAGUAGCGUGCAGGAUGACGGCCCUACGGGUUGUAAACUGCUUUUAUACGGGAAUAAAGCGCCUUACGUGUAUGGCUUUGCAUGUACCGUAUGAAUAAGGACCGGCUAAUUCCGUGCCAGCAGCCGCGGUAAUACGGAAGGUCCGGGCGUUAUCCGGAUUUAUGGGGUUUAAAGGGAGCGUAGGGCGCAUGGCAGGCGUGCUGUGAAAUGUCCGGGCUCAACCCCGGACUGCCGUUGAAACUGGAAGCCUGGAGUGCGGGAGAGGUAUGCGGAAUGCGUGGUGUAGCGGUGAAAUGCAUAGAUAUCACGCAGAACUCCGAUUGCGAAGGCAGCUUACCGGAGUGCAACUGACGCUCAUGCACGAAAGCGUGGGUAUCGAACAGGAUUAGAUACCCGAGUAGUC
RNAcentral lists this ribosomal RNA (459 nucleotides) under uncultured bacterium. Its description in RNAcentral is "partial 16S ribosomal RNA". It matches the Rfam family "Bacterial small subunit ribosomal RNA", at positions 338 to 795 of the family's 1533-position model. The record is from RNAcentral.